This 1357-nucleotide ribosomal RNA is filed under the name uncultured bacterium. RNAcentral's name for it is "16S ribosomal RNA". It matches the Rfam family "Bacterial small subunit ribosomal RNA", at positions 46 to 1399 of the family's 1533-position model. The record is from RNAcentral.
GCUUAACACAUGCAAGUCGAGGGGCAGCAUAAGAGUAUCAAUACUUUGGUGGCGACCGGCGCACGGGUGAGUAACGCGUAUGCAACCUACCCAUAACUGAGGAAUAACCCGUCGAAAGUCGGACUAAUACCUCAUAAUAAUUAUUGUUCGCAUGGAUGAUAAUUUAAAGAUUUAUCGGUUGAAGAUGGGCAUGCGUUCCAUUAGCUUGUUGGUGAGGUAACGGCUCACCAAGGCUACGAUGGAUAGGGGAACUGAGAGGUUUAUCCCCCACACUGGAACUGAGACACGGUCCAGACUCCUACGGGAGGCAGCAGUGAGGAAUAUUGGUCAAUGGAGGCAACUCUGAACCAGCCAAGUCGCGUGAAGGAUGAAGGUCUUAUGGAUUGUAAACUUCUUUUGCAAGGGAAUAAAGUGGGGGACGUGUCCUCCUUUGCAUGUACCUUGCGAAUAAGGAUCGGCUAACUCCGUGCCAGCAGCCGCGGUAAUACGGAGGAUCCGAGCGUUAUCCGGAUUUAUUGGGUUUAAAGGGUGCGCAGGCGGGAUGUUAAGUCGGCGGUGAAAUUUUGCAGCUCAACUGUAAAAGUGCCUUCGAUACUGGCUUUCUUGAGUGUGGAUGAAGUAGGCGGAAUUUGUGGUGUAGCGGUGAAAUGCUUAGAUAUCACGAGGAACUCCGAUUGCGCAGGCAGCUUACUAAACCACUACUGACGCUCAUGCACGAAGGCGUGGGGAUCAAACAGGAUUAGAUACCUUGGUAGUCCACACUGUAAACGAUGAUAACUCGCUGUCGGCGAUACACAGUCGGUGGCCAAGCGAAAGCAUUAAGUUAUCCACCUGGGGAGUACGACCGCAAGGUUGAAACUCAAAGGAAUUGACGGGGGCCCGCACAAGCGGAGGAACAUGUGGUUUAAUUCGAUGAUACGCGAGGAACCUUACCCGGGCUCGAACGGUGCAUGAAUAUACGAGAGAUUGUAUAGUCCUUCGGGACAUGUAUCGAGGUGCUGCAUGGUUGUCGUCAGCUCGUGCCGUGAGGUGUCGGCUUAAGUGCCAUAACGAGCGCAACCCUUGUCAUUAGUUGCCAUCAGGUCAAGCUGGGGACUUUAAUGAGACUGCCACCGUAAGGUGUGAGGAAGGGGGGGAUGACGUCAAAUCAGCACGGCCCUUAUGUCCGGGGCGACACACGUGUUACAAUGGGAGGUACAGAGGGCAGCUAUCCGGUGACGGAAUGCUAAUCUCCAAAACCUUUCUCAGUUCGGAUUGGAGUCUGCAACUCGACUCCAUGAAGGUGGAUUCGCUAGUAAUCGCGCAUCAGCCAUGGCGCGGUGAAUACGUUCCCGGGCCUUGCACUCACCGCCCGUCA